This 22-nucleotide non-coding RNA is filed under the name Arabidopsis thaliana (thale cress). The record is from RNAcentral. Lineage: Eukaryota; Viridiplantae; Streptophyta; Magnoliopsida; Brassicales; Brassicaceae.
AUACUCCUUCUCUACCUACUUC